GGCCAGAGAGCUCAGUUGGUUAGAGCAUCGUCCUGAUAUGCCAAGGUUGUGGGUUCGAUCCCCAGUCAGGGCA
Molecule: non-coding RNA, 73 nt
Organism: Myotis brandtii (Brandt's bat)
Lineage: Eukaryota; Metazoa; Chordata; Mammalia; Chiroptera; Vespertilionidae
Source: Rfam